UGGACAGAUUAUUGUAUUCGACUGUAUUCACGGCGUGAGACGGGAGAUUACACUAUUUUUAAACGGAAAGUGAAUCAAUUAACAUAAUAGACUCCU
Molecule: non-coding RNA, 96 nt
Organism: Nicotiana sylvestris (wood tobacco)
Lineage: Eukaryota; Viridiplantae; Streptophyta; Magnoliopsida; Solanales; Solanaceae
Source: Rfam